This 23-nucleotide microRNA is filed under the name Glycine max (soybean). Its description in RNAcentral is "gma-miR1513a-3p". The record is from miRBase by way of RNAcentral. Lineage: Eukaryota; Viridiplantae; Streptophyta; Magnoliopsida; Fabales; Fabaceae.
UUUAAAUGUGUAUAAGUCAUGGU